AAUGAACGCUGGCGGUAUGCCUAACACAUGCAAGUCGAACGGCAGCACAGUAAUAUCUUGCUCUUACCGGUGGCCGGUCGCGUACGUGUGACGAAUGCAUCCGAAUCUUCUUUUUCGGAGGGCUUAAGGUAGGUAGACUUACUCUAAUACCGCAUACCACCUACCGUGGAAAGCAGUGGAUCGUCUGACCUGUCGCGAUUGGAUUCGCCGCUUUGGGAUUAGCUAGUGGGCGGGGGAAAGACCCACCAAGGCGACGAUCCGUAGCUGGUCUGAGAGGAUGGUCGGCCACACUGGAACGGAGACACGGUCAAGAGUACUACGGGAGGCAGCAGUGGGGAAUAUUGGACAAUGGGCGGAAGCCUGACCCAGUCAUCCCGAGUGGGUGAAGAAGGCCUUCGGGUUGUAAAGACCUUUUGUUGGGAAAGAAAAGCAGCAGGUUAAUACGAAGCUGUUGUGACGGUACCGAAAGAAUAAGCACCGGCUAACUACGUG
This 492-nucleotide ribosomal RNA is filed under the name uncultured bacterium. RNAcentral's name for it is "partial 16S ribosomal RNA". It matches the Rfam family "Bacterial small subunit ribosomal RNA", at positions 29 to 507 of the family's 1533-position model. The record is from RNAcentral.